RNAcentral lists this transfer RNA (72 nucleotides) under Camelus bactrianus (Bactrian camel). It matches the Rfam family "tRNA". Rfam says of the family: Transfer RNA (tRNA) molecules are approximately 80 nucleotides in length. Their secondary structure includes four short double-helical elements and three loops (D, anti-codon, and T loops). Further hydrogen bonds mediate the characteristic L-shaped molecular structure. tRNAs have two regions of fundamental functional importance: the anti-codon, which is responsible for specific mRNA codon recognition, and the 3' end, to which the tRNAs corresponding amino acid is attached (by aminoacyl-tRNA synthetases). tRNAs cope with the degeneracy of the genetic code in two manners: having more than one tRNA (with a specific anti-codon) for a particular amino acid; and 'wobble' base-pairing, i.e. permitting non-standard base-pairing at the 3rd anti-codon position. RNAcentral also lists the same sequence under 2 other names. Lineage: Eukaryota; Metazoa; Chordata; Mammalia; Artiodactyla; Camelidae. The record is from Rfam by way of RNAcentral.
GGGGGAAUAGCUCUGUGGUAGAGUGCAUGCCUAGCAUGUAUGAGGUCCCGGCUUCAAUUCCCGGUAUCUCCA